This is a long non-coding RNA of Populus euphratica (Euphrates poplar), 124 nucleotides long. RefSeq lists it as uncharacterized. The transcript has 3 exons. The record is from RefSeq and is a predicted model, not a curated record. NCBI's taxonomy places the organism in Eukaryota, Viridiplantae, Streptophyta, Magnoliopsida, Malpighiales, Salicaceae.
GUCAAGCAUUUACUCAGAGACUCUAACUCUUCUUGGAAAUGGGCUUCACGAUGAGCACGCUCUUCAUCUUCCAUGUUUCUUGCUUAGAGUCGGGUGUUGUAGACUUUUUGGGGACCUAUAUUUU